Long non-coding RNA from Ornithorhynchus anatinus (platypus), 263 nucleotides. RefSeq lists it as uncharacterized. Lineage: Eukaryota; Metazoa; Chordata; Mammalia; Monotremata; Ornithorhynchidae. The record is from RefSeq and is a predicted model, not a curated record. The transcript has 2 exons.
UGCCCUGCACCUGCAUUUUCCUGGAAGCCUGCAUGGGCAGGUUGAGGAACAGGCCCAGGAAGUCCUUGGGCUCUGGGUUUCCAGCUGUGACCGUGGCAGUUUCAGCAGGAGUUGGCUACUGUGGCUAGGAGACCAUCACUCGACACACUUCCCCACGUCUUGGGAUUGAGCUAAUGAAGUUUGGUAAUCCUCUGCUUAGGGAGAAGUAUGGGAUUGUAAUGAACUAUAGUUGACUGAAAUGAAGGAGAAUUUUUAAAUGCAAA